AGAGCGAACGCUGGCGGCAGGCCUAAAACAUGCAAGUCGAACGGAUCCUUCGGGAUUAGUGGCGGACGGGUGAGUAACACGUGGGAACGUGCCUUUUGGUUCGGAACAACUCAGGGAAACUUGAGCUAAUACCGGAUGUGCCCUUCGGGGGAAAGAUUUAUCGCCAUUAGAGCGGCCCGCGUCUGAUUAGCUUGUUGGUGAGGUAAUGGCUCACCAAGGCGACGAUCAGUAGCUGGUCUGAGAGGAUGAUCAGCCACACUGGGACUGAGACACGGCCCAGACUCCUACGGGAGGCAGCAGUUAGGAAUCUUGCGCAAUGGGGGAAACCCUGACGCAGCCAUGCCGCGUGAAUGAUGAAGGUCUUAGGAUUGUAAAGCCUUUUGUGGGGAAGAAUCGUACGGUUGAAUAUUCCGUGCGGAUGACGGUACCAAAGAAUAAGCACCGGCUAACUUCGCGCCAGCAGCCGC
Molecule: ribosomal RNA, 467 nt
Filed under: uncultured bacterium
Lineage: Bacteria
Description: SSU rRNA
Rfam family: Bacterial small subunit ribosomal RNA
Source: RNAcentral